Jaculus jaculus (lesser Egyptian jerboa) is the source of this 102-nucleotide small nuclear RNA. The record is from RefSeq and is a predicted model, not a curated record. NCBI's taxonomy places the organism in Eukaryota, Metazoa, Chordata, Mammalia, Rodentia, Dipodidae.
GUGCUUGCUUUGGCAGCACAUAUACUAAAAUUGGAACGAUACAGAGAAGAUUAGCAUGGCCCCUACGCAAGGAUGACCCAACAAGACAGAAUCUCCGUGUUU